CGCGUAGGCGGCGGUGUAAGUCAGACGUGAAAUUCCUGGGCUCAACCUGGGGACUGCGUUUGAGACUGCAUUGCUAGAGGAUGGAAGAGGCUCGUGGAAUUCCCAGUGUAGAGGUGAAAUUCGUAGAUAUUGGGAAGAACACCGGUGGCGAAGGCGGCGAGCUGGUCCAUUACUGACGCUGAGGCGCGAUAGCGUGGGGAGCAAACA
Molecule: ribosomal RNA, 207 nt
Filed under: uncultured bacterium
Lineage: Bacteria
Description: partial 16S ribosomal RNA
Rfam family: Bacterial small subunit ribosomal RNA
Source: RNAcentral